GGACAAACAGCAAGGUCGGUUGCAGGGGGCCACCCUUACGGACCGACGCUACGCUAGGCCGCGGUGUGAGUUUAAAUCUCUUCUUCGCCGGGAAUGGAACGUUUCGCUGACCGAGCCCACUUUUCAAACAGGGGAAACUAUGGAAACAGCUCGCGGCUGCCAACGGAUCCCGCUGCGGCAAUGGCUCUGCACACUGGCUGGGAAUCACUUCCGGGACAUUAGGCAUACCCACCUGGGACAUGGAAUGGAUGAAUAAGCACCUGGAGCACUGUUGCUCAACUGUUUUGUCACCUCCUCUCUAUUCUUACUGCUGCAUGCAAUCCUUUCCAAAGAAAAUAACAGGAUGGAUGUAGAAAUAGUAUCUAAUCCCACUUGUAACUUUCAGAUUCGUAACGAACGGAUUGUCCGCACUUUACUGCCUUGUUUGUGGGAACUUGCUGCGUGUAAAUUGGCUUUCCCAGUGGCUACAUUACAACCGCGAUUUUAUUGUGCUGGAAAGCUUUUUAAGACUUCCAAUGAAGUUGCAAACGUCUUUGUUUUGUAAUUUUUUCAAUCAAUUUGUUCUGAUGUCUUGUGACACAUCUCUGGUACAGGUGAGUCUUGAACCCGGCGCUGUUAGCUUAUAGGCAGUAGCACCGUUGUAGCGUUCGCCCUCAAUCAGUUGCCAUGACAGGAUUUGAAAUAAUUUUCUUUUAUAUAAUUGUCAUGAAGUAACUUGUUGCAGGACAAACAGAUGCAACAAUUUGGAUGGGAACUGCUUCCCUUUCCCUGGCUACUAUUUAUUCAUUUUAUUUGCUUUUAAAUUUCUUAAACAUGUUGUAUUUACAUGAUGUUAUCUCCUCAGGGUAGACCAACAUAUUUCAAAUACAGUAAGUUACUUUUGAAGACCUGUUCUCAUUAAAUUCACAUGUUUGAACACUGCAUUGUUUCACAAACAGAAAAUGUGAUGAAUAAUCGAUGGACUUGAUGUUGAUAGUGUUGGUUAUUGCAGAAAUGCUUACACUCCCUGAGGACUUUGAUAUCUACCUGAAAGCGGACGGUAUUGUCUGAGGCAUUACAACCUAAUCAGGUUCAGAUCUUGUGGUGAGUUUACACCUUCUGAUUCAGAGGAAAGCAUGCUACUACUGGAGCCAAAAUGUCACAUUACUGCUUGAUUGUGCAGCUGGGUCAUCUCAAUUCUCAGUCAAUGGCACAUUGUUCAGUAGCUCGCAAAAUAAUUUCAAAUGAUUGGUAAUAACUUGUAAGAUACAAAUUAUCUUGACAAAAAAAAAUCUUCUGGGUCAUUUUUGAUGUGAAUGAGUGCUAAAUCAAAUGUGGCAACUUUUACUGUUAAUGAUUGUGUUCAGCAUAUUAACAUUUGCUGGAUUGUAAAUGAUUCAUGACUGAUGUAUGAGGAGAGACUGACUAGGUUAGGAUUGUUUUCGCUGAAACUCAGAUGAAUGAAGGAGGAUCUCUUUAAGAUUCUACAAGACUAGACAAGGUAGAUGCUGCAGGGAGGAUAUUCCUGACGCUGGAUGUGUCCAGAACCAAUGGUCGCAGUCUGAGGAUUCUGGGUAGUCCACUUAGGACAGAGAUGAGACGACAUUUCUUCACCGAAACAGCAGUGAGCCUGUGGAAUUCGUUACCACAGAAAGUUGUUGAUGCCAAAACAUUGAAUGUAUUCAAGAGGUGGCUAGAUAUAGCACUUGUAGUGAAUGGGAUAAAAAGUUAUGGGGCGAAAGCAGGAUUAGGCUAUUGAGUUGGACAAUCAGCCAUGAUCGUGAUGAAUGGCGGUACAGGAGGAGGUUAAUAAGCCCUCUCUUCUAUUUUUCUAUGAUGUAUAAAACAGAUGUAGUGACUUUUGGUGUAUGUUUCAGUUCUUAUUCUUCCUCAGCAGUCCCUUGCGGUGGAGGCUGACCUGGUUUAAUAGGUUCUUGGAUGGCUGAUAGUCCAAUGCACAGUUUGCAGGUUCCAUAAUGUGGGGCAGGUGCUGGUUUGAAGGGUUGGAUAAAUGGGCUGUUUGGUGAUUGUAGUGUACCCUGUGAAGCCUUAGGUUUCCCUGCAAGUUCCUAAUGAAGUGUCGUCUUGUGUUCAAUGCAUUCCUAGAUGAGUCUUCUCAAUUAUGGUCAACUGCAAACCAGCUUCAGUUAACUUUAUGACUGAAGAUACUUCAAGAUUAAUGGGGAGUAAGAUAGUAAAAUAAAGUUGGACAUGGUGCUCUUUUACCUCUGAUACCACAACACAUUUAUUUUCAUUGCCAGGAAAAAGUAUAGUUUCUCAAUGUUUCAAAUUAUGUUUGUUUUCAUUUAAGGUAAAUAAUUGAAAUUGAACGGUUCAAGGUAGUAAUACUUAAAUGAACGCAUGGACCAAUACUUUACCUAUAGCUUCCAUAAACAGUGAACUUACAUGUUAAUCUCUCAGGAAUUAGCUUUUGCCAGCUGUAGUUGAGGUGAAAUCUUAAAAUAAGUGAACAUUUUUAUCCUGGCAUUUUGAACAUUUAUUGCCACUUUUAUUUCUUUUCAUAGCAUUGCCGGCUUGCAUUUAUAGGGUCUAUUCUGUGUGGUUUGACUCUUCGGUCCAACUCGUCCAUGCCAGCUAGGCAUCCCAAUAUGACCUUGUCCCAUUUGCCAGCAUUUUGCCCAUAUCUGUCUAAACCCUUCCUAUUUGUUUACCUAUCUGGAUGCCUUUUAAAUGUUGUAAUUGUAUGUGCCUCCACUACUUACUUUAGCAGCUCAUUUGACUCCCGCACCACACUGUGUGAAAAUGUCACCUCAGGCACUUUCUAAAUCUUUUUCCCUCUCACCUUGAACCUAUACCCUCUAGUUUGGACUACCCCACCCUAGGAAAAAGACCUUGGCUAUUCAACCUAUCUAUGCCCCUCAUGGUUUUAUAAACCUGUAUAAGGUCACCCCUCAGUCUUCAAUGCUCAAGGGUAAACGCCCAGCCUUUUUCCUAUAACUUUAAACUCUCCAGACCUGGCAAUAACCUUAAAUCUGUGUUCUCUCCAGUUUUAUUUUUCAAUAGAAUUGUAAGAAGGAUUCUAAAAGUGGCCUAACCAAUGUCCUGUUCAGCCGCAACAUGACAUCCCAAUUCCUAUACUCAAGUGUUCUGACCAAUGAAGGAAAACAUGCCAAAUGCCGCCUUCACCACUUGUCUACCUGCAACUCCACUUUCAAGGAACUAUGCACCUGUACCCCUAGGUCUUUGUUAGGCAAAGUUCCCCAGGGCCCUUCAAUUAACUAUACAUGUGUUUAGUUUUUCAUUAUUGUGUGGAAGCAUGCCAUCAAAGUCCACACUGACCCUCCAAAAAAAUCCCAAGACUACUCCCCUACCCUCUCCCUGUAACCCCAUGUUUACAAUGGCUAAUGCACCUAAUCUACACAUUCCUGAACCAUAGGGUGUAAUGUUUCCUUGAUAUUCCCUUUAGCAAACUCAACUGAAAAAUCAGAACUUCAUGAAAGGAAAGGACCUCUGAAUAGUCCAUUGAAGAUUGGCUUUAAGAUAGUUAUCAUACUUCUCAGAAUCUUUUUGUUUAAUGUGAGCUACGUAGAAUAAAUCAUGAAUCCUGUCUAUUCUUUUUGUUGAUAUCAGCUAAGACUGCACGAGAUGCUACAAAAACCCAUGAGGUACGUAUUACUGUAACUGUGGGUUCAGUGAAUGUGAGGAGAAAUACAUUUUUAAAAUAAUGGGAUAUGGUUUCAGUUCUUUAUGCAUUGAAAGCAUACAAUUUCUCCAGACAGAAACAGAAGGAACAGAGUCGCAAAUUAGAUCAUGAAAUAUAAGAGCAGAAGUGGACUACUUUAAAAUCUACUCUACUAAUCAAUGUGAUCACGGCUGACCUAAAAAUCCUCCACUCCAUUUUCCUGUCUUAACUCCAUAACCCUUGAUUCCCUUAUGGGUUUCAGUGGUUAGCACUGCUGCCUUACACCAGGGAUCUGGGUUCAGUUUCACUCCAGUGAUUGUGUGGAGUUUGUGUUCCCCCUGCGUCUGCACAGUUUCCCUCUGGGUGCUGUAAGAUUUCUGUAACUUGUAGCAUCUAAAUCAAUAAUAUAUAAUUAAGUGAUUGUAGCCCCAGUGCUGAUCCCUGUGGUUCUCUAGGUAUGUUGCCAUCCUGAAAAUGUCUUCCUGACCCCAACUCUGUCUUAUACCGGUUAUCCAAUUCAUGUUAAUACAGUACCCCCAACAUGGAUUCCAAGUAGCCUUACAUGUGAUACCUUAUUGAAUUUUUUUUAAGGAUCUAAAUAUGUUACAGCUACUGUUUCUGCUUUAUCUAUCAUGCUUGUUAUCUCUUCAAAGUGUCAGGCAUGAUUUCCUCUUCAUGAAACCAUGAUGAUGACUUUGUUUGAUUAUAUGAUGCUUUUCUAAAUGUCCUGUCAUUCUUUAUUGUGGACUCUAACGCUUUCUGAAUAACAAAUGUUAGGCUUAGUAGACUGUAGUUUUAGCUGCCUGUUUUUGAUUAAGGGUGUGACAUUGGAAAACUACCAAUCUUCUGGGACUUCUUCAUAAUAAUAAAGAUGCAUGGAAGAUUA
This is a long non-coding RNA of Stegostoma tigrinum, 4508 nucleotides long. RefSeq lists it as uncharacterized. NCBI's taxonomy places the organism in Eukaryota, Metazoa, Chordata, Chondrichthyes, Orectolobiformes, Stegostomatidae. The transcript is spliced from 2 exons. The record is from RefSeq and is a predicted model, not a curated record.